Molecule: RNA transcript, 1964 nt
Organism: Marmota monax (woodchuck)
Lineage: Eukaryota; Metazoa; Chordata; Mammalia; Rodentia; Sciuridae
Gene: Dctn5
Gene name: dynactin subunit 5
Exons: 7
Source: RefSeq, a predicted model, not a curated record
UGAGACCCGAGUCCCCAGGAGAGCGGAAGUGGAGGAGCAGCCGGAAGUAGCCAGAAUCUCCGACUGACCGACUGGCUUUGACGCUCUCCGGAGGUGCUCAGAGGCGGUGGCCGCCAUGGAGUUGGGCGAGCUUCUCUACAACAAGUCCGAGUACAUCGAGACGGCAUCUGGGAACAAAGUUAGUCGCCAGUCAGUGUUGUGUGGAAGCCAGAACAUCGUUCUCAAUGGCAAGACAAUCAUAAUGAAUGACUGUAUCAUCCGAGGGGAUCUGGCAAACGUAAGAGUUGGACGCCAUUGUGUUGUGAAAAGUCGUAGUGUCAUAAGGCCACCAUUCAAGAAAUUCAGCAAAGGUGUUGCAUUCUUUCCCUUACAUAUCGGGGACCAUGUCUUUAUCGAGGAAGAUUGUGUGGUCAACGCAGCUCAGAUUGGUUCUUACGUUCACGUUGGCAAGAACUGUGUGAUUGGGCGCAGAUGUGUGUUGAAAGACUGCUGCAAAAUUCUUGACAAUACAGUGUUACCUCCAGAAACCGUGGUCCCACCAUUCACCGUCUUCUCAGGCUGCCCAGGGUCUCACCAAGUUGCCCAGGCUGGCCUUGAAUUUUCGAUCUGCCUGCCUCAGCCUCCAGAGUAGCUGGAAUUACAAACAUGUGCCACCAUAUCCAGAUUCUCAUGAAGGAUUUCUGCAUGGGAACUUAAAGGACUCUUCUCAGGGGAGCUUCCAGAAUGUACUCAAGAGCUGAUGAUUGACGUCACCAAGAGCUACUACCAGAAGUUUUUGCCCCUGACACAAGUCUAGUGUUUCUGCUUCAUGUCUUGAAUUUGUUUGAGCUCUAAGAUGAACUUGGGGACGAAGUGAGCAUCAGCAUCUCCAGGAGCUUGUGCGUGUUUGACGCUUCCUCCCUUCUUUAUUUUAUUUUUUAAAAUUGAGAAUGUUUCAAUACUUCACGGCUCUAAGCUCUUAAGGAUUUAAUAAGAGAACAUCUGGAGGAGUCGGCUCCACAUGCUGUGCUCACACCUUAUUUGUCAACCGUCACUUCAUCCCAUUAUCUGUGGAACACAGAGUUGACCUUCCUAACUCUGCAACACUCCCGGCACCGUGGUCCCUCGGAUGGCUAGAUCCAGGCUGAGAGGGGCCUGCAGGGCACAGCACUCCCCCAGGGUGGAGGUAACAGGGCAGGUAUGCUGCUCAUGGCCACGCCCCCUCAUGGCACCCCACUCAGAGGACGCUCAGCUCUGUUGCUGCUGAUGUGUUUGACCAGUGGCCACAAUUGCUCGUAAUCCUGGAGAAAGUGUGACUUCUGAGCCCUGAUUCCUGUUGCCUGUUGGUGGUUAGUGUGUCUCUUCCCCAAAUUACCUUACUGUCCCGAGGUGGUUAAUAAAAGACUUUCUAGCAUUCUGUUCCAGGGCCUUUGGCUUUCCCUAUAAGAGAAGACCUUAGCACCCCACAGUUUGUAUUUGCAAAGUUCCAGGUUUGAGUCUCCCAUGUAAAUGGAUUAGUCAGGUAGUCACUCCUUGCCUCAAAGUAUUUGUCGGAUUUCACUGAAAACAAAGCAUUUGUGAACACUUGCUCUCUGACCUAGAACCAUUCGACCUACCCCGUAUUUGCCUGAAACCUCACAGGUCAUAUGUAUGCAUGAGUGGCUCUUAAAAUUGUCUGGCGGGCACAGAGCCCAAGGAGUGACAUGGCCAGCGGUAUUCUUACCAUCUCCUCUGGCCAGUCGCACCACCCUUCCUGGUCCUGCUCUGACCUCUUGGCUUAGAAAGGAGGUUUAGAGUGAGGAGCUGAGAAGGUUGGCCUCCUCGGGACUCUGUCCUGCUGAAGGUGAAUGGGACAGGUUGGCUCAGCCUGGAAGUCAUAACCCAGUAGGAGCCAGCUUGACCUACCAUCCAGUUGGGGGGUUUGCAGAAAGAGUCAUAUGUAAUCAUCUCCGCUUGUUCUAUUAAAACUCCUUUCUGGUUUGUCA